This 464-nucleotide ribosomal RNA is filed under the name uncultured bacterium. RNAcentral describes it as "partial 16S ribosomal RNA". It matches the Rfam family "Bacterial small subunit ribosomal RNA", at positions 339 to 795 of the family's 1533-position model. The record is from RNAcentral.
CUACGGGUGGCAGCAGUGGGGAAUAUUGCACAAUGGGCGCAAGCCUGAUGCAGCCAUGCCGCGUGUAUGAAGAAGGCCUUCGGGUUGUAAAGUACUUUCAGCGGGGAGGAAGGGAGUAAAGUUAAUACCUUUGCUCAUUGACGUUACCCGCAGAAGAAGCACCGGCGAACUCCGUGCCAGCAGCCGCGGUAAUACGGAGGGUGCAAGCGUUAAUCGGAAUUACUGGGCGUAAAGCGCACGCAGGCGGUUUGUUAAGUCAGAUGUGAAAUCUCCGGGCUCAACCUGGGAACUGCAUCUGAUACUGGCAAGCGUGAGUCUCGUAGAGGGGGGUAGAAUUCCAGGUGUAGCGGUGAAAUGCGUAGAGAUCUGGAGGAAUACCGGUGGCGAAGGCGGCCCCCUGGACGAAGACUGACGCUCAGGUGCGAAAGCGUGGGGAGCAAACAGGAUUAGAUACCCUUGUAGUC